CGGCCUUGUGCGCGGCUCGUUCGUCAAAGCGACCGCAAACCGCGGAGGCUCUGCAGCAGAAGCACAUGGCGAUUAACCCUUUAAAACAUAUCACACUUGGGCACUCACAGUUUUAAGAAGAAUGUUUGGUCAUUCUUCUCCGACACGUUGAGAGGAAACGUGUGCGUACACCUACAUUAUUUAUCAGAACAACCAUUCUU
RNAcentral lists this long non-coding RNA (200 nucleotides) under Rhipicephalus microplus (southern cattle tick). Its description in RNAcentral is "uncharacterized LOC119176266, transcript variant X1". The record is from RNAcentral. Lineage: Eukaryota; Metazoa; Arthropoda; Arachnida; Ixodida; Ixodidae.